CCUACGGGAGGCAGCAGUGGGGAAUUUUGCGCAAUGGGGGCAACCCUGACGCAGCAACGCCGCGUGAGUGAUGAAGGCCUUCGGGUCGUAAAGCUCUGUCAGAGGGGAAGAAAUGCAGGUGGUGAACAACCAUUCUGUUUGACGGUACCCUCAAAGGAAGCACCGGCUAACUCCGUGCCAGCAGCCGCGGUAAUACGGAGGGUGCGAGCGUUGUUCGGAAUUAUUGGGCGUAAAGCGCGUGUAGGCGGUUUGUUAAGUCUGAGGUAAAAGCCCCGGGCUCAACCUGGGAAGUGCAUUGGAUACUGGCAGACUUGAGUACGGGAGAGGAGAGUGGAAUUCCCAGGGUAGGAGUGAAAUCCGUAGAUAUUGGGAGGAACACCGGUGGCGAAGGCAGGUUACUGGACCAUUACUGACGCUCAGAUGCGAAAGCCAGGGGAGCAAACAGGAUUAGAUCCCCUGGUAGU
This 464-nucleotide ribosomal RNA is filed under the name uncultured Geobacteraceae bacterium. RNAcentral describes it as "partial 16S ribosomal RNA". It matches the Rfam family "Bacterial small subunit ribosomal RNA", at positions 338 to 794 of the family's 1533-position model. The record is from RNAcentral. Lineage: Bacteria; Pseudomonadati; Thermodesulfobacteriota; Desulfuromonadia; Geobacterales; Geobacteraceae.